CACGUAGGGUGCGAGCGUUGUCCGGAAUUAUUGGGCGUAAAGGGCUCGUAGGCGGUCUGUUGCGUCGGGAGUGAAAACUCAGGGCUUAACCCUGAGCCUGCUUCCGAUACGGGCAGACUAGAGGUAUGCAGGGGAGAACGGAAUUCCUGGUGUAGCGGUGAAAUGCGCAGAUAUCAGGAGGAACACCGGUGGCGAAGGCGGGUCUCUGGGCCGAUACUGACGCUGAGGAGCGAAAGCGUGGGGAGCGAACAGG
RNAcentral lists this ribosomal RNA (253 nucleotides) under uncultured bacterium. RNAcentral describes it as "partial 16S ribosomal RNA". It matches the Rfam family "Bacterial small subunit ribosomal RNA", at positions 524 to 776 of the family's 1533-position model. The record is from RNAcentral.